UACGUAGGGUGCAAGCGUUGUCCGGAAUUAUUGGGCGUAAAGGGCUCGUAGGCGGUCCAUCACGUCGGGAGUGAAAAGCUGGGGCUUAACCCCAGUCCUGCUUCCGAUACGGGUGGACUAGAGGUAGGCAGGGGAGAACGGAAUUCCUGGUGUAGCGGUGAAAUGCGUAGAUAUUGGGAAGAACACCGGUGGCGAAGGCGGCUACCUGGACCGGUACUGACGCUGAGGCGCGAAAGCCAGGGGAGCGAAUGGG
This 253-nucleotide ribosomal RNA is filed under the name uncultured bacterium. RNAcentral describes it as "partial 16S ribosomal RNA". It matches the Rfam family "Bacterial small subunit ribosomal RNA", at positions 524 to 776 of the family's 1533-position model. The record is from RNAcentral.